Molecule: transfer RNA, 74 nt
Filed under: Tissierellia bacterium
Lineage: Bacteria; Bacillati; Bacillota; Tissierellia
Description: tRNA-Pro
Rfam family: tRNA
About the family: Transfer RNA (tRNA) molecules are approximately 80 nucleotides in length. Their secondary structure includes four short double-helical elements and three loops (D, anti-codon, and T loops). Further hydrogen bonds mediate the characteristic L-shaped molecular structure. tRNAs have two regions of fundamental functional importance: the anti-codon, which is responsible for specific mRNA codon recognition, and the 3' end, to which the tRNAs corresponding amino acid is attached (by aminoacyl-tRNA synthetases). tRNAs cope with the degeneracy of the genetic code in two manners: having more than one tRNA (with a specific anti-codon) for a particular amino acid; and 'wobble' base-pairing, i.e. permitting non-standard base-pairing at the 3rd anti-codon position.
Source: RNAcentral
CGGGGUGUAGCGAAGCUUGGUAUCGCGCAUGGUUCGGGACCAUGAGGUCGAAGGUUCAAAUCCUUUCACUCCGA